Molecule: ribosomal RNA, 497 nt
Filed under: uncultured bacterium
Lineage: Bacteria
Description: partial 16S ribosomal RNA
Rfam family: Bacterial small subunit ribosomal RNA
Source: RNAcentral
GAUGAACGCUGGCGGCGUGCCUAAUACAUGCAAGUCGAGCGAACAGACGAGGAGCUUGCUCCUCUGACGUUAGCGGCGGACGGGUGAGUAACACGUGGAUAACCUACCUAUAAGACUGGGAUAACUUCGGGAAACCGGAGCUAAUACCGGAUAAUAUAUUGAACCGCAUGGUUCAAUAGUGAAAGACGGUUUUGCUGUCACUUAUAGAUGGAUCCGCGCCGCAUUAGCUAGUUGGUAAGGUAACGGCUUACCAAGGCAACGAUGCGUAGCCGACCUGAGAGGGUGAUCGGCCACACUGGAACUGAGACACGGUCCAGACUCCUACGGGAGGCAGCAGUAGGGAAUCUUCCGCAAUGGGCGAAAGCCUGAAGGAGCAACGCCGCGUGAGUGAUGAAGGUCUUCGGAUCGUAAAACUCUGUUAGUAGGGAAGAACAAAUGUGUAAGUAACUAUGCACGUCUUGACGGUACCUAAUCAGAAAGCCACGGCUAACUACGUG